Long non-coding RNA from Heterocephalus glaber (naked mole-rat), 1725 nucleotides. RefSeq lists it as uncharacterized. Lineage: Eukaryota; Metazoa; Chordata; Mammalia; Rodentia; Bathyergidae. The record is from RefSeq and is a predicted model, not a curated record.
ACCAGGAAAGGGAAAGCGCCUGAAUUGGAGGCGCGCAGGCGCAACUCUUUCGCGGGUAGGGGGGAGUGAGACUAAGGCGGAGGCGAGCAAAUGGGUGAGGAAGAGCGGUGAGGAAGGGCGGUAUGGUAGCAAAAUUAUGGAGCGCCAUUAAGGACAAGUUUGGUCACGUGAUUCUCAUAGGCGUUUCCUGGUUUGAAAGGUGUUUUAAAAAAAUCCUAUGAAGAUGGGAAUCGAAAGGAGGACAGGGCUGAAGAUUGGAGCCCAGUGGUAGAGUACUUGCCUAGACCAAAAAAGGCCCUGGAUUCAUCUCCAUCACAGAAAAGAAAAAAUAAAAAGAGACACCCCAAAAAGUCCUAGUUAUCCAAUGAAGAACAAAUGGACAGUUGGAACACAAGGGUGACCUGUGUCCAAGAGAUAAAAAUUUGAGCAUCAACAGUUGUGUUAUAUUUAUCAACAUAAAUAGUAUAGUACAAGGGCCCCUCUGCUUAUGUUGGAGUUGCAUCAUCAUAAACCUGUUGUAAAUGGAACAUCAUAAAUCAAAAGUAUAUUUAAUAGUCCCUAACCUAAUGAACAUCCUAGCUCAGCCAGACAGUACACUAAGGAGUGUCCAAUCUGAGCCCUUGGGUUUGUUGCGUUGUUUUGUCUUAAUAUUAAAAGGAUACUGAGGCAUGAUAGUACAUGUCUGUAAUCCCAGCCCUCAGAAGUCUGAAUCAGGAUUGAGACCAGCCCAGACUACAUAGAGAAACUCUGCCUCAAAAAAAAGUUUGUUACUUGUAUGUAUUAAAGUAUAUUGUAUAUUUUAUUAUAUAUGGUUCAAGAUAAUUCUUCACUCUGCAUCCCAAGCAAGCCAAGAGGUUGGACACCUAUUACUUUACAGGCAAUGGGCCAGGCAUCAAAAGAUUAUCAUAUCACAUUUUGCUAAGCUGGAAAAAAGAUGAAAAUUUGAAGUACAGAUUCUACUGACUAUCAUUUUCACACCAUAUAAAGGAAAAGAGUCACAUACUGAACCAUAAUAAGUUGGGGACCAUCAGGGCUCGCUUCAGCAGCACAUAUACUAAGUUGGGGACCAUCGUAUUUACCACCAUAAAAAGGAUAAAAUCACUGAAGAAAAUGUCAAGAGAAACUCCAGGACUAAGCCCAGAGAAACUUCAAAAUAUAUGGAGGUUAAGUCUCUAAACAGGAGAUUGAGGAAAGGGAAAACGUGAUAUCACUAAACCCAAGGAAAGAGUUGCUUCAAGAAAAGUAGGUCACUGUCUUCAGUGUAACAGAGCAAAAAGUCAGAAGGCAAGAAGUGCUUCUAUGGAUUGACAUCGUAGAAGACCAAUACUGACCAUGUAGAAUGCAGAUCAGUGGAAUAGAGCCAGAUUAGCUCAUUGGUGAUGGCAAAAGACAAAUAGUUGUGAAAUUUUAUAGAGAACAGCAAAGAAAUAUAACUGAAAGUAUGAUGUGAGAAUUUUUUCUAUCCUUUUUGUCCAUUUAAAUGAGAAGUACAAAAAAUGUAUUCUAAUGGUAGUGAUUCAAUAAAGGGGGAAAUACUGAUAAUGAUGAAGAAACCUAUAGAUCAUUGUAGGAGCAAAAUCUUAGUGGCAAGAAAUUAUGCAACUUCAAGAGGAAAAGUCCCUUAGGUAGAAGCAGGAACAUUUCUGCCUUACUGUAUAUUGAGAGAAGACAAAGAUAAUGGGCACAUGUCCAAAUUGGUUUGCAAAUAAAGAGUCUAUGAAGGAC